Molecule: small RNA, 1075 nt
Filed under: Rattus norvegicus (Norway rat)
Lineage: Eukaryota; Metazoa; Chordata; Mammalia; Rodentia; Muridae
Description: uncharacterized LOC108351508
Source: RNAcentral
AAGUGUGCUAUGGCAUCAUGUGUAAUUCACUAGCUUCCUCUUCUGCCUGAACAACUGGGAAGCUUGGUGCUAGGUGUGGUGGCCAAGUUGGCCACCACAUUCUUCAGGUUACAUUCUCCCUCACUUCUUAGCAUGCUGUCAAAAGAUUUCUUAGAAUGUAGACAAGUGAACCUUUCCAUUGUGAGUGACUUUAGAACUUUGGAACUCUGCUGUUUUUCUGACAAGAGUUACUUAGUGUACAUCCUUGUUUACAAGAAAUCCUUGAUUCAGCUAUGCUAAUCAUUCCUUCCGCUGAGAUGUACUGGCAAUGGCCCUUGAUUCAACCUCGCCAGGUGUAACUGCCAGAUAGUCUACACAUUCUCCUCUAGAUGGACUCCACUCUGCUGUUCUACUUCUCCAAUUUCAGUGUGUUAUUUCUAGGUUUCAGAAGUGAAAGUCCCAAGACUCUGCAACCCCUCAGCUCCAAGAGGGAUGGCCUUUGGCUAAACCUUUGGUUAAGGUUCCCUGGUCAUAUUCUGAGAAAUAUUACUGGAUUCAUAUUGGGUUUAAGAAGAUGGCUGUCACCUUGCCUGUGGGGUUCUAACCACUUAAGUUUUAGUGGAUACCAGAAAAGGAUAUUAAAUUCCCUGGAACUAGAGCCAGACAGAGAUGAUUCUGAGCUGCCAGGUGAGUGCUGGGAAUCAAACCCAGUUCCUCUACAAAAAGCAGAUAGUGCUUCUAAGCUCUGAGCCAAAUAUUCUGCCCUACACUGAGAAUUCUUUGGGGUGGGGACAUGGGUACAAUAUGUAAUGAACAAAUUGGAGCAAUUUGCUUCUGCAUCAUCCCAAAUACUUAUCAUAUAUUUAUGUAGAAGACAUCAAUAUACUUUAUUCUGCUCAUUUUGAAACACUAAAUAAGUCACUGGAACUUUCCAAUUAGAAUGUAUGCCUCAAGGGUUUGAGAAAUAUUCCAUUAACCAAUGAGUUAUAUGUUUCUCCUUAGAGUGGCCCAGAUGGGCCUCUCUUCCCACAAGCACAGGUACCACUGUGUGCCCCUGCCUCCAUGGUUGAUGUCCACCCAGCCUGAGACGCUGAAC